UGAAAUUUUCAGACGAAUCAGACAACCUGUUGUUUGGUUGCUGCCCCUGAAUUUGUUAUUUUAAGGAAAUUUUGCAGUUUUUGGUUAUUAUCUUGAAUACUAUUAUAGAUAGAGAUAAACUGUAAACAGCAAUAAUGUUCAGCAAAGUAAGACCUACAAAUAAGUCAACAUGACCAAAAUUGUCGGUCAACCCCUUAAGGAGUUAUUGCCGUUUAUAGUCAAUUUUUAACAACUUUUCGUCAUUUUUUGCAACUUGUACAAAAAUCUUCUUCUCUGAAACUGCUGGGCCAAAUUUAACCAAACUUGGCCACAAUUAUCAUUGUGGUAUAUAGUAUAAAAAAAGUGUCUGAUGACCCCGCCUACCAAACAAAAUGGCCGACAUGGCUAAAAUUAGAACAUAGUGGUAAAAUGCAGUUUUUGCUUUAUAUCUUUGAAACUAAGACAUUUAUGGCAAAUCUUUCAAGAUUUAAAUGUCCAUCAGAAUAAGAUCUAUCCCCUCUCAAAAUUUCAGAUGAAUCUGACAACCGUUCAGCAAAGUAAGAUCUACAAAUAAGUCAACAUGAUCAAAAUUAUUAGAGGACCCCUUAAGGAGUUAUUGCCCUUUAUAGUCAGUAUUGAAUAACUUUUCGUCAUUUUUGUUACUUGUACAAAAAUCUUCUUUUCUAUAACUAUGGGCCAAAUUUAACCAAACUUGGCCACAAUCAUUACUAGGGUAUCUAUUUAAAAAAAGUGUCUAAUGAUCCCGCCUACCACCCAAGAUGGCCGACAUUAGUAAAUACAGUAACAGGUGAGCGACACAGGCUCUUUAGAGCCUCUAGUUAUCAAUGCAGAUCAUAUCAUAUGAACAAAUGUUGAGGGUAUAUGAUUUAUUUUGUUUCUGUUAAUUAAUGGUGAAACAUUUUGUUGAAUAUACAAUUAAGCUGCUGAUUAUGAACUUGCUUGAAUGAGAGGAUCA
This 955-nucleotide long non-coding RNA is filed under the name Mytilus galloprovincialis (Mediterranean mussel). Lineage: Eukaryota; Metazoa; Mollusca; Bivalvia; Mytilida; Mytilidae. The record is from RNAcentral.